GACGAACGCUGGCGGCGUGCUUAACACAUGCAAGUGGUGCGACGAACCAGGGCUUGCCCUGGGGCAAAGCCGCGAACGGGUGAGUAACACGUGAGUAACCUGCCCCGAUGACCGGGACAACCCGAGGAAACUCGGGCUAAUACCGGAUGUGGUACAUGGACUUAAGCCUGUGUACUAAAGGAAGCUUCGGCCUCCGCAUUGGGAGGGGCUCGCGGCCCAUUAGCUUGUUGGUGGGGUAACGGCCUACCAAGGCAACGAUGGGUAGCUGGUCUGAGAGGACGAUCAGCCACACUGGGACUGAGACACGGCCCAGACUCCUACGGGAGGCAGCAGUGGGGAAUCUUGCGCAAUGCGCGAAAGCGUGACGCAGCAACGCCGCGUGGGGAAGACGGCCU
Molecule: ribosomal RNA, 395 nt
Filed under: uncultured bacterium
Lineage: Bacteria
Description: bacterial SSU rRNA
Rfam family: Bacterial small subunit ribosomal RNA
Source: RNAcentral